GGGUUAGUAGGCUGGUCAUGCCUCCGGUAUGUACUGGUCUCACUGAUUCCUCCCUCCUGACGAACCUUAAUGCCAUUAAUUUGGUGUUUUGGGAAAUUUGGACUGUUACUUUGAAAAAAUUAGAGUGUUUAAAGCAAGCUAACGCUUGAAUACAUUAGCAUGGAAUAAUGAAAUAGGACGUUCGAUCCUAUUUUGUUGGUUUCUAGGAUUGACGUAAUGAUUAAUAGGGAUAGUUG
Molecule: ribosomal RNA, 236 nt
Filed under: uncultured Glomus
Lineage: Eukaryota; Fungi; Glomeromycota; Glomeromycetes; Glomerales; Glomeraceae
Also listed under: 1 other name
Description: partial 18S ribosomal RNA
Rfam family: Eukaryotic small subunit ribosomal RNA (bases 40-236)
Source: RNAcentral